AACAAAGAAUAAAAGGUCGAGCCUGCCCGGUGACUAUAUGUUUAACGGCCGCGGUAUUUUAACCGUGCAAAGGUAGCGCAAUCACUUGUCUUUUAAAUGAAGACCUGUAUGAAUGGUAUUACGAAGGCUUAACUGUCUCCUUUUUCAAGUCAGUGAAAUUGAUCUCCCCGUGCAGAAGCGGGGAUAAAACCAUAAGACGAGAAGACCCUAUGGAGCUUUAAGACACUAAGGCAAAUCAAGUUAAACACCCCUAAACAAAGGACCAAACCUAUUGAACCCUUGCCCGUAUGUCUUCGGUUGGGGCGACCAUGGGGAAACAAAAAACCCCCACGUGGAACGGGAGCACAACUACUCCUACAGCUAAGAGCUGCCGCUCUAAUAAGCAGAAUUUCUGACCAACAACUGAUCCGGCAACGCCGAUCAACGGACCAAGUUACCCUAGGGAUAACAGCGCAAUCCCCUUUUAGAGCCCCUAUCGACAAGGGGGUUUACGACCUCGAUGUUGGAUCAGGACAUCCCAAUGGUGCAGCCGCUAUUGAAGGUUCGUUUGUUCAACGAUUAAAGUCCUACGUGAUCUGAGUUCAGACCGG
RNAcentral lists this ribosomal RNA (590 nucleotides) under Rastrelliger faughni (island mackerel). Its description in RNAcentral is "partial 16S ribosomal RNA". It matches the Rfam family "Bacterial large subunit ribosomal RNA", at positions 1837 to 2619 of the family's 2925-position model. Lineage: Eukaryota; Metazoa; Chordata; Actinopteri; Scombriformes; Scombridae. The record is from RNAcentral.